This is a long non-coding RNA of Bos taurus (domestic cattle), 330 nucleotides long. The record is from Ensembl. NCBI's taxonomy places the organism in Eukaryota, Metazoa, Chordata, Mammalia, Artiodactyla, Bovidae.
AUGGAGUCGGACAUGACUGAAACGACUUAGCAGCAGCAGCAGCAGGGGAAGGCAAUGGCACCCCACUCCAGUACUCUUGCCUGGCAAAUCCCGUAGACGGAGGAGCUUGGCUUCCAUCCAAGACAGAAGCAAUUGAUUCUUAAAGAAGGGCUAAUAUUCCCAGGAUUUUAAACAGCGGCAAAACUCAUUGGUGAAGGAUACAGCUCUGGGUUCUUUUCCAGUUGCGGGCUUCCCUGGUGGCUCAGUGGUAAGAAUUUGCCUGCCAAUGCAGGAGGAAUGAAUUCGAUCCCUGGUCUAGGAGGAUCCCACAGCAGUGGAGCAGCUGAGCCC